Molecule: ribosomal RNA, 83 nt
Filed under: Clostridium botulinum
Lineage: Bacteria; Bacillati; Bacillota; Clostridia; Eubacteriales; Clostridiaceae
Description: partial 16S ribosomal RNA
Rfam family: Bacterial small subunit ribosomal RNA (bases 1-71)
Source: RNAcentral
UAGGGUCAGCGAUUGGGGUGAAGUCGUAACAAGGUAGCCGUAGGAGAACCUGCGGCUGGAUCACCUCCUUUCUAUGGAGAAAU